AGCGAACGCUGGCGGCAGGCCUAACACAUGCAAGUCGAACGGACCUUUCGGGGUUAGUGGCGGACGGGUGAGUAACACGUGGGAACGUGCCUUUAGGUUCGGAAUAGCUCCUGGAAACGGGUGGUAAUGCCGAAUGUGCCCUUAGGGGGAAAGAUUUAUCGCCUUUAGAGCGGCCCGCGUCGGAUUAGCUAGUUGGUGAGGUAAUGGCUCACCAAGGCUACGAUCAGUAGCUGGUCUGAGAGGAUGACCAGCCACAUUGGGACUGUGACACGGCCCAAACUCCUACGGGAGGCAGCAGUGGGGAAUCUUGCGCAAUGGGCGAAAGCCUGACGCAGCCAUGCCGCGUGGAUGAUGAAGGUCUUAGGAUUGUAAAAUCCUUUCACCGGUGAAGAUAAUGACUGUAGCCGGAGAAGAAGCCCCGGCUAACUUCGUGCCAGCCGCCGCGGUAA
This 449-nucleotide ribosomal RNA is filed under the name uncultured bacterium. RNAcentral's name for it is "partial 16S ribosomal RNA". It matches the Rfam family "Bacterial small subunit ribosomal RNA", at positions 29 to 523 of the family's 1533-position model. The record is from RNAcentral.